This 468-nucleotide ribosomal RNA is filed under the name uncultured bacterium. Its description in RNAcentral is "partial 16S ribosomal RNA". It matches the Rfam family "Bacterial small subunit ribosomal RNA", at positions 28 to 507 of the family's 1533-position model. The record is from RNAcentral.
GACGAACGCUGGCGGCGUGCUUAACACAUGCAAGUCGAACGGAAAGGCCCUGCUUUUGUGGGGUGCUCGAGUGGCGAACGGGUGUGUAACACGUGAGUAACCUGCCCUUGACUUUGGGAUAACUUCAGGAAACUGGGGCUAAUACCUGAUAGGAGCUCCUGCUGCAUGGUGGGGGUUGGAAAGUUUCGGCGGUUGGGGAUGGACUCGCGGCUUAUCAGCUUGUGGGUGGGGUAGUGGCUUACCAAGGCUUUGACGGGUAGCCGGCCUGAGAGGGUGGCCGGCCACAUUGGGACUGCGAUACGGCCCAGACUCCUACGGGAGGCAGCAGUGGGGAAUAUUGCACAAUGGGCGGAAGCCUGAUGCAGCAACGCCGCGUGCGGGAUGACGGCCUUCGGGUUGUAAACCGCUUUCGCCUGUGACGAAGCGUGAGUGACGGUAAUGGGUAAAGAAGCACCGGCUAACUACGUG